Molecule: ribosomal RNA, 307 nt
Filed under: uncultured soil bacterium
Lineage: Bacteria
Description: bacterial SSU rRNA
Rfam family: Bacterial small subunit ribosomal RNA
Source: RNAcentral
AGAACGAACGCUGGCGGCAGGCUUAACACAUGCAAGUCGAACGGGUGUAGCAAUACAUCAGUGGCAGACGGGUGAGUAACACGUGGGAACCUUCCUAGGGGUACGGAACAACUCAGGGAAACUUGAGCUAAUACCGUAUACGUCCGUGAGGAGAAAGAUUCAUCGCCCCUAGACGGGCCCGCGUCGGAUUAGGUAGUUGGUGGGGUAACGCCUACAAGCCUACGAUCCGUAGCUGAUCUGAGAGGAUGAUCAGCCACACUGGGACUGAGACACGGCCCAGACUCCUACGGGAGCAGCAGUGGGAAUC